This 494-nucleotide ribosomal RNA is filed under the name Pseudomonas sp. BF.27. RNAcentral describes it as "bacterial SSU rRNA". It matches the Rfam family "Bacterial small subunit ribosomal RNA", at positions 14 to 502 of the family's 1533-position model. The record is from RNAcentral. Lineage: Bacteria; Pseudomonadati; Pseudomonadota; Gammaproteobacteria; Pseudomonadales; Pseudomonadaceae.
UGAUCCAUGGCUCAGAUUGAACGCUGGCGGCAGGCCUAACACAUGCAAGUCGAGCGGUAGAGAGAAGCUUGCUUCUCUUGAGAGCGGCGGACGGGUGAGUAAUGCCUAGGAAUCUGCCUGGUAGUGGGGGAUAACGUUCGGAAACGAACGCUAAUACCGCAUACGUCCUACGGGAGAAAGCAGGGGACCUUCGGGCCUUGCGCUAUCAGAUGAGCCUAGGUCGGAUUAGCUAGUUGGUGAGGUAAUGGCUCACCAAGGCGACGAUCCGUAACUGGUCUGAGAGGAUGAUCAGUCACACUGGAACUGAGACACGGUCCAGACUCCUACGGGAGGCAGCAGUGGGGAAUAUUGGACAAUGGGCGAAAGCCUGAUCCAGCCAUGCCGCGUGUGUGAAGAAGGUCUUCGGAUUGUAAAGCACUUUAAGUUGGGAGGAAGGGCAUUAACCUAAUACGUUAGUGUUUUGACGUUACCGACAGAAUAAGCACCGGCUAACU